Molecule: ribosomal RNA, 253 nt
Filed under: uncultured bacterium
Lineage: Bacteria
Description: partial 16S ribosomal RNA
Rfam family: Bacterial small subunit ribosomal RNA
Source: RNAcentral
GACGGAAGGUGCAAGCGUUGCUCGGAAUCACUGGGCGUAAAGGGUGCGUAGGCGGCCGUGCAAGUCUGGCGUGAAAGCCCCGGGCUCAGCCCGGGAAGUGCGCUCGAAACUGCGCGGCUCGAGUGCCGGAGGGGAGAGUGGAAUUCCUGGUGUAGCGGUGAAAUGCGUAGAUAUCAGGAAGAACACCGGUGGCGAAAGCGCUCUGCUAGGCCGCAACUGACACUGAGGGACGAAAGCUAGGGGAGCGAAUGGG